Molecule: unclassified non-coding RNA, 240 nt
Filed under: soil metagenome
Description: partial contains 5.8S ribosomal RNA, internal transcribed spacer 2, and large subunit ribosomal RNA
Source: RNAcentral
AACUGAUACUACCUGCGGGAACCUGCGGAGGGAUCAUUACAGAGUUUUUAACUCCCAAACCCAUGUGAACUUACCAUUGUUGCCUCGGCGGAGCCUACCCUGUAGCUACCCUGUAGGGUGGUUACCCUGUAGUGCCCCGCCGGUGGAUUUUCAAACUCUUGUUAUUUUUAGUAAUCUGAGAGUCUUAUUUUAAAUAAGUCAAAACUUUCAACAACGGAUCUCUAGAUCGGAAGAGCACAC